Molecule: ribosomal RNA, 496 nt
Filed under: uncultured bacterium
Lineage: Bacteria
Description: partial 16S ribosomal RNA
Rfam family: Bacterial small subunit ribosomal RNA
Source: RNAcentral
AUUGAACGCUGGCGGAAUGCUUUACACAUGCAAGUCGAACGGUAGAGGGGGCAACCCCUCGAGAGUGGCGAACGGGUGAGUAAUAUAUCGGAACGUGCCCAGUCGUGGGGGAUAACGUAGCAAAAGUUACGCUAAUACCGCAUACGAUCUAAGGAUGAAAGCGGGGGAUCGCAAGACCUCGCGCGAUUGGAGCGGCCGAUAUCAGAUUAGGUAGUUGGUGGGGUAAAGGCUCACCAAGCCAACGAUCUGUAGCUGGUCUGAGAGGACGACCAGCCACACUGGAACUGAGACACGGUCCAGACUCCUACGGGAGGCAGCAGUGGGGAAUUUUGGACAAUGGACGCAAGUCUGAUCCAGCCAUUCCGCGUGCAGGAUGAAGGCCCUCGGGUUGUAAACUGCUUUUGUGCGGAACGAAAAGGUCUCUCUUAAUACGGGGGGCUCAUGACGGUACCGUAAGAAUAAGCACCGGCUAACUACGUGCCAGCAGCCGCCGUAA